GACGAACGCUGGCGGCGUGCUUAACACAUGCAAGUCGAACGAAGAGCGACGGAAGCUUGCUUCUGUCAAUCUUAGUGGCGAACGGGUGAGUAACGCGUAAUCAACCUGCCCUUCAGGGGGGGACACCAGUUGGAAACGACUGCUAAUACCGCAUACGCCCUAACCUCGGCAUCGAGGGUAGAUGAAAGGUGGCCGCUACAGGUCAGCUAUCACUGAAGGAGGGGAUUGCGUCUGUGUAGUUAGUUGGAGGGGUAACGGACCUCCUAGGCGAUGGUCAGUGGCAGGUCGGAGAGGAUGAGCGGCCGCAUUGGGACUGAGACACGGCCCAGACGCCUACGGGAGGCAGCAGGGGGGAAACGUGCGCAAGGGGCGAAAGACUGACGGAGCAACGCCGCGGGCGGGAUGACGGCCGUCGGGUUGUAAAGCUCUGUUAAUCGGGACGAAAGGCCUUCUUGCGAAUAGUGAGAAGGAUUGACGGUACCGGAAAAGAAAGCCACGGCUAACUACGUG
Molecule: ribosomal RNA, 510 nt
Filed under: uncultured bacterium
Lineage: Bacteria
Description: partial 16S ribosomal RNA
Rfam family: Bacterial small subunit ribosomal RNA
Source: RNAcentral